Molecule: ribosomal RNA, 253 nt
Filed under: uncultured bacterium
Lineage: Bacteria
Description: partial 16S ribosomal RNA
Rfam family: Bacterial small subunit ribosomal RNA
Source: RNAcentral
UACGUAGGGGGCAAGCGUUAUCCGGAUUUACUGGGUGUAGAGGGAGCGUAGACGGCAGUGCAAGUCUGGAGUGAAAGGCGGGGGCUCAACCCCCGGACUGCUCUGGAAACUGUACGGCUGGAGUGCAGGAGAGGUAAGUGGAAUUCCUAGUGUAGCGGUGAAAUGCGUAGAUAUUAGGAGGAACACCAGUGGCGAAGGCGGCUUACUGGACUGUAACUGACGUUGAGGCUCGAAAGCGUGGGGAGCAAACAGG